UUAUUAGGUAUAAAGGGUGCGUAGGCGGACCUGUAAGUCAGCGGUGAAAUACUACGGCUUAACCGUAGAACUGCCGUUGAUACUGCGGGUCUUGAGUACAGUUGAGGUAGGCGGAAUGUGUGGUGUAGCGGUGAAAUGCUUAGAUAUCACACAGAACACCGAUUGCGAAGGCAGCUUACUAAGUUGUAACUGACGCUGAUGCACGAAAGCAUGGGGAGCAAACAGGAUUAGAUACCCUGGUAGUCCAUGCCGUAAACGAUGAUCACUCGCUGUACGUCCAUUAGGAUGUGUGGCUGAGCUAACGCAUUAAGUGAUCCACCUGGGGAGUACGGCGGCAACGCUGAAACUCAAAGGAAUUGACGGGGGCCCGCACAAGCGGAGGAACAUGUGGUUUAAUUCGAUGAUACGCGAGGAACCUUACCUGGGUUUAAAUGCAGGACGCAAGUCACGUGAAAGCGAGACCCUCCUUCGGGACGGACUGCAAGGUGCUGCAUGGUUGUCGUCAGCUCGUGCCGUGAGGUGUCGGGUUAAGUCCCAUAACGAGCGCAACCCUCAUCGUUAGUUACCAGCGGGUCAAGCCGGGGACUCUAACGAGACUGCCACCGUAAGGUGAGAGGAAGGUGGGGAUGACGUCAAAUCAGCACGGCCCUUAUAUCCAGGGCUACACACGUGUUACAAUGGCCAGUACAAAGGGCAGCUACCAGGUGACUGGAUGCUAAUCUCAAAAACUGGUCUCAGUUCGGAUCGAAGUCUGCAACUCGACUUCGUGAAGUUGGAUUCGCUAGUAAUCGCGCAUCAGCAAUGGCGCGGUGAAUACGUUCC
Molecule: ribosomal RNA, 822 nt
Filed under: uncultured bacterium
Lineage: Bacteria
Description: bacterial SSU rRNA
Rfam family: Bacterial small subunit ribosomal RNA
Source: RNAcentral